This 294-nucleotide ribosomal RNA is filed under the name uncultured Chloroflexota bacterium. RNAcentral describes it as "uncultured Chloroflexi bacterium partial 16S ribosomal RNA". It matches the Rfam family "Bacterial small subunit ribosomal RNA", at positions 352 to 662 of the family's 1533-position model. The record is from RNAcentral. Lineage: Bacteria; Bacillati; Chloroflexota.
CAGUAAGGGAUAUUGCACAAUGGACGGAAGUCUGAUGCAGCGACGCCGCGUGGAUGAAGAAGGUUUUCGGAUCGUAAAGUCCUUUUCUAUGUGACGAGGUAGGACGGUAGCAUAGGAAUAAGUGUCGGCUAACUACGUGCCAGCAGCCGCGGUAAAACGUAGGACGCGAACGUUAUCCGGAGUUACUGGGCGUAAAGCGCGCGCAGGCGGUUGUAUAAGUCUUAUAUGAAAGUUAUCGGCUAAACUGAUAGAGCGUAUGAGAGACUGUACAACUAGAGAGAAAUAGAGGGAAGU